CUCGGCGGAUCAGCCCGCGCCCCGUAAAACGGGACGGCCCGCCGAGGACCCAAACUCUAAUGUUUCUUAUUGUAACUUCUGAGUAAAACAAACAAAUAAAUCAAAACUUUCAACAACGGAUCUCUUGGUUCUGGCAUCGAUGAAGAACGCAGCAAAAUGCGAUAAGUAAUGUGAAUUGCAGAAUUCAGUGAAUCAUCGAAUCUUUGAACGCACAUUGCGCCCGCUGGUAUUCCGGCGGGCAUGCCUGUUCGAGCGUCAUUUCAACCCUCAAGCCCCCGGGUUUGGUGUUGGGGAUCGGCUCUGCCUUCUGGCGGUGCCGCCCCCGAAAUACAUUGGCGGUCUCGCUGCAGCCUCCAUUGCGUAGUAGCUAACACCUCGCAACUGGAACGCGGCGCGGCCAUGCCGUAAAACCCCAACUUCUGAAUGUUGACCUCGGAUCAGGUAGGAAUACCCGCUGAACUUAAGCAUAUCAAUAAGCGGAGGA
RNAcentral lists this ribosomal RNA (484 nucleotides) under fungal sp. MT0817. RNAcentral's name for it is "eukaryotic LSU rRNA". The stretch from base 105 to 258 matches the Rfam family "5.8S ribosomal RNA". The record is from RNAcentral. Lineage: Eukaryota; Fungi.